RNAcentral lists this small RNA (201 nucleotides) under Virgibacillus sp. SK37. Its description in RNAcentral is "Bacillus sRNA ncr1575". It matches the Rfam family "Bacillus sRNA ncr1575". Lineage: Bacteria; Bacillati; Bacillota; Bacilli; Caryophanales; Bacillaceae. The record is from Rfam by way of RNAcentral.
UUAAUUAAGUAGAAAGGAAUGAUGGGUGGACAAUGGAUAACUAAUCUUAUUUUUUAGUAUUUGAAAUAGUAAUUUCGAAGACUGCAAAAUUAGGAUUAGUGUGCCCAUUUUUCUAUGAACGGAAUGGCUAUUUAUGUGAAUAGCUUAUUUUGGCACUGUUAAAUGCAACUAAUCCUUCCAAUUACCUGGGAGGAUUUUUUU